AAAGAAGGGAAGGUGUUUUUUCGCCGAAGGCUCAAAAACGAUAUGUACGUAAAGUUUCAUGCAUCGUAAAGAAUUAAAUUACAAACAGUUUAUAUAUUACAUUCAAAACUACAAAAUAUUACACACUUUGUUCAGCAAAUAUUACAUUAAUAUUCCAAAUGUUUUUACAAUAAUAGCCAUUCUUCUUUUAAAACUGCUUCUGCAGCCUCGUUUAGUAGUCGAGUAACAGCUUCGUCCAUAAUAGCUUCGGCCAUCUUAGUAAUUUCAUCUUCCUUUUUUGCUUCGGGGUCGGCCAGUGACUCGAAGGGAUCCGAGGGAGAAGAUAGUUCGGCUGCGAUAUAAAACAUAAAUAAGUCCGAAGUCACAAAAAUAAAACAUAAAGUCAAAAGCAAUUAGGCAAUACAUAUCCGCCUUUCAAGUUCUGCAGUCUUUUCAGCUGUCUUUGUUGCUUCUCUAGCAUCGUGAGUAUCUUUUUCACUUUUCUUUAUAAUUUCGUGGGCCAUCCCUUGGCCGCCAUUUUCCCAGAUGUCGGUGAAAAACUUUCCACCAACUAAGCUUGCGCCGAGGGGUCUUUUGUAUCUUCAAUAGAUAAGGCAGCUUCGUUUUGCGCCAAAGAUUUUACAUGUUCGCACCCUAUCUUCUCCAAGAUAGCUGCAACUCCCCUCGCGCCAGAGAAGGCGCAGACGUCUCCACGGCCAUUUAAAAUUUCCUCGAAGGCAUCGGCUUCGCUACUGAUCCAUUCAAUUGGGCCCUCAGGAUCGCCUCUGUGGCAGAACCUCCCAAGUUAUUGGGCCCACAUGCACCCGUCCUUGUCUCAAAGACCUCAGACUGCUAUGCAUGUGCACCAGAUAACUUAACAGGAUCCGUCCGAUUGCCCCAAGGACACCGGAUAAACCACUUACAACCAGAACCGCGGGAUUAAGUAACACAAAUCACACACACCAAUAUUUUUGCAGCGGAAAUCUUGUUACCAAAUUUUACAAGUUACAAAAAUUUUACAUUAUUUUAUCGGAGUGAUUGCAAAAGUAUAAGUUUGAAAUAUAUGCUAGCUCAAGGGACCAUCCUCAUUAAGAAGUAUAGAAGGGUUACUUAAACUUAUAAGAAGGUCGAGCCCACCGGCACUUAACACCACCAUCAGCAGCACAAAACUAUGACCUGAAAAACAACAGGGAAUAAAACCCUGAGUACGCAAUUACUCAGCAAGACUUACCCGACUAAAGAAAAGACUCUCAAGGGUAUGCUGGCUAGAGGGAGUCAAGGUAAGGCUAAGCAAUAAUCAAGGACUCAUUUUGCAGAAGAGCUUACUAGUAGUGAAUCCUUAUGCCAAAAUUUUACUUCGCAAGUUAAGUACUUUUCCUGUAUCUAGAUUUGCCUAAUCUAUAGCAUUCACUUGUCCUGAUCUAGCUUUCUUUUAACCAACUACAAUCAUGUUUCACUUGUCAACUACGAUGAGUGGUCAGUGAGUCGAGUCUCCAUAACCGAGGAGCAACGACGAUUCGAACCGAUUAUACCCAGCUGGGGAUCCCUAACCACACGACAUAUGUAGCACUUAACCCUUGCAUAUGUCAACCGUUCCCAUAGAUCCUCCACAACGUGAACCGGUCCGCGCUACCCGGGAGCACAGUACUCCUCCAUCCAGCCUCUAGCCAGGAGGGUACACGCU
RNAcentral lists this long non-coding RNA (1663 nucleotides) under Zea mays. RNAcentral describes it as "long non-coding RNA (ZMAY_LNC005237)". Lineage: Eukaryota; Viridiplantae; Streptophyta; Magnoliopsida; Poales; Poaceae. The record is from RNAcentral.